Molecule: ribosomal RNA, 489 nt
Filed under: uncultured soil bacterium
Lineage: Bacteria
Description: bacterial SSU rRNA
Rfam family: Bacterial small subunit ribosomal RNA
Source: RNAcentral
AGAUUGAACGCUGGCGGCAGGCCUAACACAUGCAAGUCGAGCGGUAACGCGGGGGCAACCCUGGCGACGAGCGGCGGACGGGUGAGUAACGCGUAGGAAUCUACCCAGUAGCGGGGGAUAGCCCGGGGAAACUCGGAUUAAUACCGCAUACGCCCUAAGGGGGGAAAGCAGGGGGAUCGUAAGACCUUGCACUAUUGGAAGAGCCUGCGUUGGAUUAGCUAGUUGGUAGGGUAAAGCCUACCAAGGCGACGAUCCAUAACUGGUCUGAGAGGAUGAUCAGUCACACCGGAACUGAGACACGGUCCGGACUCCUACGGGAGGCAGCAGUGGGGAAUAUUGGACAAUGGGGGCAACCCUGAUCCAGCCAUGCCGCGUGUGUGAAGAAGGCCUUCGGUUGUAAGCACUUAAGUGGGAGAAGGUUCGCUGUUAUACGCAGCGGAAUUGAUGACUACCCACAGAAUAAGCACCGCUAACUCUGUGCAGCAGCCG